Molecule: transfer RNA, 72 nt
Filed under: Candidatus Parcubacteria bacterium
Lineage: Bacteria; Candidatus Parcubacteria
Description: tRNA-Arg
Rfam family: tRNA
About the family: Transfer RNA (tRNA) molecules are approximately 80 nucleotides in length. Their secondary structure includes four short double-helical elements and three loops (D, anti-codon, and T loops). Further hydrogen bonds mediate the characteristic L-shaped molecular structure. tRNAs have two regions of fundamental functional importance: the anti-codon, which is responsible for specific mRNA codon recognition, and the 3' end, to which the tRNAs corresponding amino acid is attached (by aminoacyl-tRNA synthetases). tRNAs cope with the degeneracy of the genetic code in two manners: having more than one tRNA (with a specific anti-codon) for a particular amino acid; and 'wobble' base-pairing, i.e. permitting non-standard base-pairing at the 3rd anti-codon position.
Source: RNAcentral
GCCCCCGUAGUGAAAUGGAGAUCACGCGGGGCUUCGGACCCCGAAUUGCAGGUUCAAGUCCUGCCGGGGGCU